GAUGAAGAACGCAGCGAAAUGCGAUAAGUAGUGUGAAUUGCAGAAUUCAGUGAAUCAUCGAAUCUUUGAACGCACAUUGCGCCCUUUGGUAUUCCUUAGGGCAUGCCUGUUCGAGCGUCAUUUAAACCUUCAAGCUAAGCUUGGUGUUGGGUGACUGUCCGCUUCACGGCGGACUCGCCUCAAAAUUAUUGGCGGCCGGUACAUUGGCUUCGAGCGCAGCAGAAACGCGAACUCGGGCCCGUCGUAUUGGCUCCCAGAAGCUAUCUUCACAAUUUGACCUCGGAUCAGGUAGGGAUACCCGCUGAACUUAAGCAUAUCAAUAAGCGGAGGA
Molecule: unclassified non-coding RNA, 331 nt
Filed under: soil metagenome
Description: partial contains 5.8S ribosomal RNA, internal transcribed spacer 2, and large subunit ribosomal RNA
Rfam family: 5.8S ribosomal RNA (bases 1-120)
Source: RNAcentral